UACCAUCAUAAUUGACCCACAAGCUAUAUGGGUCUAGUGUUACCUCUUGGAUGGGCCUUUAUGAUACAUAUGUACAUGUAUAUUAUUGAGGGAUUCCCAUGUACCCCACAAGCACAUGGUCAUCAAGACCAAUCCUCAUGUCGGCAAACAUGAGUUUCCAGUGUCAACUUUUCAAACUCACACCUUCAAGGCUAGCUAUCACAACCCUCUUUAUUGCCCAAUU
Molecule: long non-coding RNA, 223 nt
Filed under: Capsicum annuum
Lineage: Eukaryota; Viridiplantae; Streptophyta; Magnoliopsida; Solanales; Solanaceae
Description: long non-coding RNA (CANN_LNC000907)
Source: RNAcentral